UUUCUGCUGUAAAUAUUUCUUCGACCGGGACUUUAUGUAUUUUAGGAAGAAGAUAAAAGCGGCCUGCUGUUUUGUUCCUGGGCAUCAUGAAGCGAUAUUCAGAUUGCGUGAUUAGUUCCCUGGACCGGAGCUCCGCUAUUGUGCUUAACACAAUAUUGCUGUAAUCUGAAGUCGGGUUAGAGUCGAGUUUUCUGUAAUGGGUGUGGUUGCUCAGUUGUUUAGAGGCCUCAUUCUUGUACUUUUCUAUAGGCCAGAUUACGAUACUGCCGAUACUGACGCAUCGAAGCGGCGCACAAGAUUCAACUGCUCACGCAAGCUUCACGUCACAGACCGCAUUUUUCGGUAUCAGUCUGCAGCAAGCGACCGCGUCACCGUCCACUUUCUCGCCGCUGGUGCCAGUCCGGACACGCUCGCUUUCCCACCUCUGUCCGUAGCAGCAUUCCGCAGCGCCCACUGACAGCCGUGCACCUGCCAGGAUGUCCGAGCCGACGGACCAACUUAACUCUGCGGAGCUUCCGUCGACCAGCUGCGGUCACUUGACAACGAUUCAAAUGUCACGAGGAAGUGAACCGUUGGUCUGGUACGACGAACAUGCCGCCACCUUCCGAGUCUCCACUUACACCCCCAGUGCCGGCACAAUCUUCCCGCCGAGCAGCUCGGUCAUGCAGACAGUGAUCUGGCCGAACUGGGCACCGCCAUCCACGCCGUGGAUUCCCUGGCCUCCUGUCUUUCCGUACUCGCACAUUAGGUGGUUGUCCACAUCGUGGCCCGCAGCUUCGCCAGCAGAAGCACCUCCAAUGGUUUGCAGGCCAUCUCAUCGAGGCCCUCUCCAUCCCAGUCUUCCACACCCGCCCAGGCUCUCUGAUGGGCCAUCGGCAAACACGGGUGGACGAAGCCAUCUCCCAAGGACCCCCCUGCCCUGUCCACUUUCUACUGCCUCCUCUUCAUUAUCAGAUGACGACGAUGCAUGUGAAGGCGCAGACCUCGACAGUGUGAAGCUUUUUAUUCCUUCCGAAGAGGGCGAUUAAAACAACUGUCAUUCGCUCCGGUCACUGA
Long non-coding RNA from Dermacentor albipictus, 1056 nucleotides. RefSeq lists it as uncharacterized. The record is from RefSeq and is a predicted model, not a curated record. Lineage: Eukaryota; Metazoa; Arthropoda; Arachnida; Ixodida; Ixodidae.